GCUUGAGACAAUUUUCUUCCUAGUAGCUAGUGUACUAUUGUGUUUAGGGUUUAGAAUGUGAACAAUGCUGAUAACACACUAAUGUAUUAGUUUCAAAAGGGCUUUUUGGUUUCUCAUAUUGCCCUGUCCAUGAGGCAGCUGGGGGUGCACCAGAAGCUGGAAGGGGACACAACUGGGACAGCUGUCCCAAAGCGACCAAAAGGACAUCCCAUCCCAUGUGAUGCCAAGUCAAAAAGAAAAAGUUAGUAGCAAGUUUUCAGUUACCCUAUUGCUCAGGGGCAGUUUGGACAUUGGUUGACUGGUGGUGAGCAAUUUUAUUGUGCAUAACUUGUUUUGCUACUUUUUUUUUCCCUUUUUUUUUUUUUUUUCCCCUCAUGGGUUGAAAUAAAGAUAGUUAUCUCAGGUACUUCUAAUUUUUUAAUUUCUCUCUCCCAUCCCACUGCAGGGAAACCACUGUGUGGUUCUUAGCUGCCUGAUGGGUUAAACCAUAACACAUGAAUAAAGAAAUGGUUAAAAGGGCAAAGACAAUGGAAACAGGCUAUUGGAAGAAGCUGUGUGGGGACCCUGCUGUUCAAAGCAUUAGUGACUGACUUGGAAAACAGUGAAGGGUCAGCAAAGGGAGGCAAGACCAACUGACUCACAUCUGGAUGCCUGCACUGCAUGAAUCUUCAUGUUUAGGUGAUAUGGACACCAAUGGGAGUGAUAUGGCUAAUAUCCCAUCCGGCUGCAUUUGCUCUCAUCCCCAGUGCUGUGGUACUCAUUUAUAGCCAAGUUGACUGGAAGUGAUGCUUGGAAUGAGUCCAGGAAAAGGCAUGAACUCACACCUCUGGAUCCAUACCAAGACACCUUCACUGCUCUAUCAUCAUUCUCCUCAGAGGGAUGUAAUGAGGAUACAUUAAUUAAUGUUUAUGAACUGCUUCAGUGCUGCCAUAUUUAGACUGUUAAAGUUGCAUCUGUAGGAAUAAAACCACAGUCAGUAAUUCUACCUGCA
Molecule: long non-coding RNA, 991 nt
Filed under: Anas platyrhynchos platyrhynchos (common mallard)
Lineage: Eukaryota; Metazoa; Chordata; Aves; Anseriformes; Anatidae
Description: lncRNA (ENSAPLG00000020757.1)
Source: RNAcentral